AGAGUUUGAUCCUGGCUCAGAGCGAACGCUGGCGGCAUGCUUAACACAUGCAAGUCGCACGGGCAGGGAAACCUGUCAGUGGCGGACGGGUGAGUAACGCGUAGGUAUCUAUCCUUGGGUGGGGGACAACCGUGGGAAACUACGGCUAAUACCGCAUGAUGACUGAGGUCCAAAGCCCGCGAGGGCGCCUGGGGCGGAGC
This 200-nucleotide ribosomal RNA is filed under the name uncultured bacterium. RNAcentral's name for it is "partial 16S ribosomal RNA". It matches the Rfam family "Bacterial small subunit ribosomal RNA", at positions 8 to 230 of the family's 1533-position model. The record is from RNAcentral.